Molecule: long non-coding RNA, 740 nt
Organism: Oncorhynchus keta (chum salmon)
Lineage: Eukaryota; Metazoa; Chordata; Actinopteri; Salmoniformes; Salmonidae
Exons: 3
Source: RefSeq, a predicted model, not a curated record
UUAUGUUGUUUGCCAUUACUGUAAUUAGGUUUGACAGAACAUUUCCAAUGAGGGAGAGUUUCUUGUAUUAUGUUGUUUGCCAUUACUGUAAUUAGGUUUGGCAGAACAUUUCCAAUGAGGGAGAGUUUCUUGUAUUAUGUUGUUUGCCAUUACUGUAAUUAGGUUUGGCAGAACAUUUCCAAUGAGGGAGAGUUUCUUGUAUUAUGUUGUUUGCCAUUACUGUAAUUAGGUUUGGCAGAACAUUUCCAAUGAGGGAGAGUUUCUUGUAUUAUGUUGUUUGCCAUUACUGUAAUUAGGUUUGGCAGAACAUUUCCAAUGAGGGAGAGUUUCUUGUAUUAUGUUGUUUGCCAUUACUGUAAUUAGGUUUGGCAGAACAUUUCCAAUGAGGGAGAGUUUCUUGUAUUAUGUUGUUUGCCAUUACUGUAAUUAGGUUUGGCAGAACAUUUCCAAUGAGGGAGAGUUUCUUGUAUUAUGUUGUUUGCCAUUACUGUAAUUAGGUUUGGCAGAACAUUUCCAAUGAGGGAGAGUUUCUUGUAUUAUGUUGUUUGCCAUUACUGUAAUUAGGUUUGGCAGAACAUUUCCAAUGAGGGAGAGUUUCUUGUAUUAUGUUGUUUGCCAUUACUGUAAUUAGGUUUGACAGAACAUUUCCAAUGAGGGAAAGUUUCUUGUAUUAUGUUGUUUGCCAUUACUGUAAUUAGGUUUGGCAGAACAUUUCCAAUGAGGGAGAGUUUCUUGUAUUA